Magnolia sinica is the source of this 968-nucleotide long non-coding RNA. RefSeq lists it as uncharacterized. The record is from RefSeq and is a predicted model, not a curated record. The transcript is spliced from 4 exons. Lineage: Eukaryota; Viridiplantae; Streptophyta; Magnoliopsida; Magnoliales; Magnoliaceae.
ACAAGGAAUCAUUAGCGAAGUUUAAGUCCAGCUAGUCUUUUAGCCAUUGUCUACUUAUAGAGACCUAGAAGCGUUAGCGUAAGAACAGAUACAAAGCAAUAAUUUAUUUAUUUGUACGGGGUUUUGACAAAUCUCUUGAUGUGGAUCAGAUGCAUUGAGGUCGGAAAGCCUCGAGCUUGUGCAACCCAGCUAUCUUACAAUCCAACACAGGCCUGGAUAGAAGGUGUGCAAUAUCCAAGCUUUCCAUCAGGUGUUUCCCCACUACUUGAUGCCACGGUCCAAAAAUCAGGCAAGUCCACUCCAUGUAAGGAUCACUAAAAGCAAGGGCCCCACACCCUUGGCUUAUUAUUAUAUUUUUAUUUUUCUUACCAAUCUUCAUUGCUUCAAUAUAACGAAGGGUUUCCAUAAUGUUUGACUUGUAUCAUGUAUUUAUCUUUGGUUGUAAGAUGCUUAUUCAAAGUGGAGGUAACUAUAUAGAGUGUAGGCUCAGGGGUCCACAAUGUUUACAUGGAUGCAUGAUCAAAGCCGCUCAUCAAGUACAAGCCACUAUAUGACUUUCCUUGUGCUGAAUUUAGGUCCAUCCAUAUUGAGUUACAUGCUAGUUAAUGCUUCUGUAAAAAGGCUCAUAUUGAGUUGCAUGCUAUGAUGCUUAUGUUGCUGUUUUAUCCUUGAAGAAAAAGGGAAGAAAAAUCUGUCCACAUAUUUAUAAAAAAAAUAAUUCCAUAACUAUUCUCCUCCAUCUGCUAGUUGUAGGUGGAGCAUUCAGAGUGGAGCAUUAGUAACAGAGGGGGGCUUUGCUGCUUCAUAUGGGGAUGGAUAUGGACUUCAUUCGGGUGGUGCUGACAAAGGUCCUCUAUAUGGCAUGAUUUUUGGUUCUUGGGGUGCAUUUGAGAAGUCUCGCCUCGGGCGUCGCUGAAGUUUGUUGAUUUUUUAUUUUUUUUCCUUCUGUCUCAAUCUAUAAAUCUUCU